This 505-nucleotide ribosomal RNA is filed under the name uncultured bacterium. Its description in RNAcentral is "partial 16S ribosomal RNA". It matches the Rfam family "Bacterial small subunit ribosomal RNA", at positions 28 to 507 of the family's 1533-position model. The record is from RNAcentral.
GACGAACGCUGGCGGCGUGCCUAAUACAUGCAAGUAGAACGCACAGUUUAUACCGUAGCUUGCUACACCAUAGACUGUGAGUUGCGAACGGGUGAGUAACGCGUAGGUAACCUGCCUGGUAGCGGGGGAUAACUAUUGGAAACGAUAGCUAAUACCGCAUAAUAUUGAUUAUUGCAUGAUAAUUGAUUGAAAGAUGCUAUUGCAUCACUACCAGAUGGACCUGCGUUGUAUUAGCUAGUAGGUGAGGUAACGGCUCACCUAGGCGACGAUACAUAGCCGACCUGGUAGGGUGAGCGGCCACACUGGGACUGAGACACGGCCCAGACUCCUACGGGAGGCAGCAGUAGGGAAUCUUCGGCAAUGGACGAAAGUCUGACCGAGCAACGCCGCGUGAGUGAAGAAGGUUUUCGGAUCGUAAAGCUCUGUUGUAAGAGAAGAACGGGUGUGAGAGUGGAAAGUUCACACUGUGACGGUAUCUUACCAGAAAGGGACGGCUAACUACGUG